AACGAACGCUGGCGGCAUGCCUAACACAUGCAAGUCGAACGAGACCUUCGGGUCUAGUGGCGCACGGGUGCGUAACGCGUGGGAACCUGCCCUUAGGUUCGGAAUAACUCCCCGAAAGGGGUGCUAAUACCGGAUAAUGUCUUCGGACCAAAGAUUUAUCGCCUUUGGAUGGGCCCGCGUUGGAUUAGCUAGUUGGUAGGGUAAAAGCCUACCAAGGCGACGAUCCAUAGCUGGUCUGAGAGGAUGAUCAGCCACACUGGGACUGAGACACGGCCCAGACUCCUACGGGCGGCAGCAGUCGGGCAUCUUGGACCCGGGCCGAAAGCCUACUCCCGCAAUGCCGCGUGAGUGAUGAAGGCCUUAGGGUUGUAAAGCUCUUUUCCCCGGGAUGAUAAUGACCGUCCCGGGAGAAUAAGUUCCGGCUAACUCCGUG
Molecule: ribosomal RNA, 433 nt
Filed under: uncultured bacterium
Lineage: Bacteria
Description: partial 16S ribosomal RNA
Rfam family: Bacterial small subunit ribosomal RNA
Source: RNAcentral